GAUCCUGGCUCAGGAUGAACGCUAGCUACAGGCUUAACACAUGCAAGUCGAGGGGGCAGCAUUUUAGUUUGCUUGCAAACUGAAGAUGGCGACCGGCGCACGGGUGAGUAACACGUAUCCAACCUGCCGAUAACUCCGGAAUAGCCUUUCGAAAGAAAGAUUAAUACCGGAUGGCAUACGAAUAUCGCAUGAUAUUUUUAUUAAAGAAUUUCGGUUAUCGAUGGGGAUGCGUUCCAUUAGUUUGUUGGG
RNAcentral lists this ribosomal RNA (249 nucleotides) under uncultured bacterium. RNAcentral's name for it is "partial 16S ribosomal RNA". It matches the Rfam family "Bacterial small subunit ribosomal RNA", at positions 15 to 253 of the family's 1533-position model. The record is from RNAcentral.